UCCUAAGGUGAGCUCAGUGAGGACGGAAACCUCACGUAGAGUAAAAGGGCAAAAGCUCACUUGAUUUUGACAAAUAUAGCAAAAAAGUAUUUGUGUACUACC
This 102-nucleotide ribosomal RNA is filed under the name Mytilus galloprovincialis (Mediterranean mussel). It matches the Rfam family "Eukaryotic large subunit ribosomal RNA", at positions 2661 to 2769 of the family's 3401-position model. Lineage: Eukaryota; Metazoa; Mollusca; Bivalvia; Mytilida; Mytilidae. The record is from RNAcentral.